This is a long non-coding RNA of Triticum aestivum (bread wheat), 538 nucleotides long. RefSeq lists it as uncharacterized. The record is from RefSeq and is a predicted model, not a curated record. The transcript is spliced from 2 exons. NCBI's taxonomy places the organism in Eukaryota, Viridiplantae, Streptophyta, Magnoliopsida, Poales, Poaceae.
AUGACCACAGCGAUCCAUCGGGUAUAAAUUUGGCCGCAGAGCAACUCCCCGGUGCAGAUAACCCCAACGAUGGCGAUCAACAAAGUAGCUCUCGUCUCAGCCGUGCUGUUGCUGGUGAUCUCUUCCGCUGCUGCUGCUGCAGGGAGAGAUGUUCCUCCAGUCCUCCCCAAGGACAACGUUCUGCGCGACCACGGUAUCAUGAAUACCCCAGAGGAGAACGGCGGUCGCUCCGAAUCCAAGAUAUACGCCAUCACGCAGCCAAUAUUCCAUCCUCCCUACGUCCCACCUUGUGCUUCCAAGGCCGUUCGUGCGAGCGGGGUCACCAAGGACGAGAAGCGUUGUUAGGAGGGCAAGUGCUGCCGAGUAACUUGCAUCUCCAGCGGAUCCCUGUCAAGAUGUGAACAUGUGGAUCGUCAUCUGGUAUAAAAUAAGGAUAAAUAAUGUACCCGCGUUUUGCUACUGGCUUUGUAAAGCAACAUCUAUCAAACAGUAUGUUACUACUAAUAAAGACCUAUCGAUUAUGUCUCCGAAAAAAAAA